RNAcentral lists this ribosomal RNA (117 nucleotides) under Danio rerio (zebrafish). Lineage: Eukaryota; Metazoa; Chordata; Actinopteri; Cypriniformes; Danionidae. The record is from RNAcentral.
UUAAACAGCCAUGUCACCCUGCAGCCCAAGACCGGUUAAUCACUGAAGCUAAGCAGGGUUGAGACUGGUCAGCACUUGGAUGGGAGACCACAUCGAAAAACUAGGUUGCUGUUGUAA